Non-coding RNA from Kalmusia sp. IMI 367209, 83 nucleotides. The record is from the annotation of a GenBank genome assembly. NCBI's taxonomy places the organism in Eukaryota, Fungi, Ascomycota, Dothideomycetes, Pleosporales, Didymosphaeriaceae.
GGCUCGGUGGUGUAGUUGGUUAUCACGUCAGUCUAACAUGGUUAGCUCACUGAAGGUCCCGAGUUCAAACCUCGGCUGAGUCA